GGGUAGAUGGCGAAAUUGGUAUACGCAUUAUAUUCAAAAUAUGACAACUUCUGUUUUAAGGGUUCAAAUCCCUUUCUACCCAC
RNAcentral lists this transfer RNA (83 nucleotides) under Platysiphonia delicata. RNAcentral's name for it is "tRNA-Leu". It matches the Rfam family "tRNA". From Rfam's summary of the family: Transfer RNA (tRNA) molecules are approximately 80 nucleotides in length. Their secondary structure includes four short double-helical elements and three loops (D, anti-codon, and T loops). Lineage: Eukaryota; Rhodophyta; Florideophyceae; Ceramiales; Delesseriaceae. The record is from RNAcentral.